Non-coding RNA from Halomicronema hongdechloris C2206, 76 nucleotides. The record is from Rfam. NCBI's taxonomy places the organism in Bacteria, Bacillati, Cyanobacteriota, Cyanophyceae, Nodosilineales, Nodosilineaceae.
CGCGGCUAACGGCAACGUGAGGCGAACUGGGCAGAAGUCAGCCGAGGUCAUAGUAGCUGCGUUGGCAGCGAAGGAC